AAGUCGUAACAAGGUUUCCGUAGGUGAACCUGCGGAAGGAUCAUUUCCAAUCCAAAAAACUUAUCAACCCACUGUGUGCACUGUCUUAAUUUUCACCUUUCUGAGAAACAAAAUAAAAGGGAUCACACCGCUAGUCUUUUCUUGUAGUGUGCUCUUUUUUUUGGAGUAUCAGAAAGAAAUUUUAUAUUACAUCCUAUUUACACCCCAUGUAGAUCUUAUCAACAAAAAAUAGUUUAAUAACAUUAAACAACUUUUAACGGUGGAUCUCUUGGCUCGU
Molecule: unclassified non-coding RNA, 277 nt
Filed under: fungal sp.
Lineage: Eukaryota; Fungi
Also listed under: 1 other name
Description: partial internal transcribed spacer region
Rfam family: Eukaryotic small subunit ribosomal RNA (bases 1-46)
Source: RNAcentral